RNAcentral lists this ribosomal RNA (229 nucleotides) under uncultured bacterium. Its description in RNAcentral is "partial 16S ribosomal RNA". It matches the Rfam family "Bacterial small subunit ribosomal RNA", at positions 568 to 796 of the family's 1533-position model. The record is from RNAcentral.
UCCGUAGGUGGAUCAAUCAGUCAGAGGUGAAAUCCUGCAGCUUAACUGUAGAACUGCCUUUGAUACUGUUGAUCUUGAGUCAUUAUGAAGUGGUUAGAAUGUGUAAUGUAGCGGUGAAAUGCAUAGAUAUUACACAGAAUACCGAUUGCGAAGGCAGAUCACUAAUAAUGUACUGACACUGAGGGACGAAAGCGUGGGGAGCGAACAGGAUUAGAUACCCUGGUAGUCC